UGGGCCUACGGGACGCAGCAGUGGGGAAUAUUGCACAAUGGGGGGAACCCUGAUGCAGCGACGCCGCGUGGGAGAAGAAGUCAAUCGUGACGUAAAGUCCUAUCAGCAGGGAAGAAAAUGACGGUACCUGACUAAGAAGCCCCGGCUAACUACGUGCCAGCAGCCGCGGUAAUACGUAGGGGGCAAGCGUUAUCCGGAUUUACUGGGUGUAAAGGGAGCGUAGACGGCGGCGCAAGUCCGGAGUGAAAGCCCACGGCCCAACCGUGGGACUGCUCUGGAAACUGUGGGGCUUGAGUGCGGGAGGG
This 305-nucleotide ribosomal RNA is filed under the name uncultured bacterium. Its description in RNAcentral is "bacterial SSU rRNA". It matches the Rfam family "Bacterial small subunit ribosomal RNA", at positions 334 to 656 of the family's 1533-position model. The record is from RNAcentral.